This 292-nucleotide ribosomal RNA is filed under the name uncultured bacterium. RNAcentral's name for it is "partial 16S ribosomal RNA". It matches the Rfam family "Bacterial small subunit ribosomal RNA", at positions 505 to 796 of the family's 1533-position model. The record is from RNAcentral.
GUGUCAGCCGCCGCGGUAAUACGGAAUGUGCAAACGUUAUUCGGAAUCACUGGGCUUAAAGAGUCCGUAGGCGGCAUGUUAGGUGAGGUGUGAAAUCCCACGGCCUAACCGUGGAAUUGCGCUUCAAACCGGCGUGCUAGAGGAAGAUAGAGGUGGGCGGAACUGAUGGUGGAGCGGUGAAAUGCGUUGAUAUCAUCAGGAACACCGGAGGCGAAGGCGGCCCACUGGGUCUUUUCUGACGCUGAGGGACGAAAGCUAGGGGAGCGAACGGGAUUAGAAACCCUUGUAGUCC